RNAcentral lists this long non-coding RNA (579 nucleotides) under Homo sapiens (human). Its description in RNAcentral is "non-protein coding lnc-ZNF562-2:7". The record is from RNAcentral. Lineage: Eukaryota; Metazoa; Chordata; Mammalia; Primates; Hominidae.
AAUAGAUCAGCAAAAAAAGAUUUAAAAAAAUUUUAAAAAGUGCUGUUUAAGGCAUAUGCCUGUAGGAGGUCAACCUUGAGUGUUUAGACACAAGAGCUCCUGAGACAUUAAACCCUGGAGUAGAUCAUGGGAGACCUGACAACCACGUGUAAGUGAGUAUAAGGUUCCCCUUCAUCAUUCUCCAGUGAAUAUUGGUGGAAGUGUUCAUUGGCUCAAACCAGCAUGUGUAUGAUGACAUAGGAUUCAGUGACGUUUGAUGAUGUGGCUGUGGACUUCACCCCAGAGGAGUGGGCUUUACUGGACACAACUGAGAAAUACCUCUACAGAGAUGUGAUGCUGGAGAACUACAUGAACCUGGCCUCUGUGGAAUGGGAAAUACAACCUAGAACCAAACGGUCAUCACUUCAGCAGGGUUUUUUGAAGAAUCAAAUAUUCAGUGGGAUACAAAUGACAAGAGGCUACAGUGGAUGGAAACUCUGUGACUGUAAGAAUUGUGGAGAGGUCUUCAGGGAACAGUUUUGCCUUAAGACACACAUGAGAGUUCAGAAUGGAGGGAAUACUUCUGAGGGUAAUUGUUAU